Peromyscus maniculatus bairdii (prairie deer mouse) is the source of this 589-nucleotide non-coding RNA. NCBI's taxonomy places the organism in Eukaryota, Metazoa, Chordata, Mammalia, Rodentia, Cricetidae. The record is from RefSeq and is a predicted model, not a curated record.
GCUGGCUUGACACUUCCCAUCUUCCAUACAUGCAAGGACAGUUGGAGUCUGUAGUGACACCUCCCAAACCUCACUGAGACAGCAAUAUGUGAACUGGAGACAUCUGUACCACAGAAACCUCUGUGGAUAACGUCAGGUGGGACAUGAGGAGCAGCUUCGGGGAAAACAUCCCCGUGUGGUGCCUCAGCUCCAGAGAGGGACUAGUGAAAGAAUACAGGGACCACUCAUCAGCUCUGUGUCACUGAAUACUGGCUUGCGUUUCCUGAAAUUUUAUACAAAUGGAGUUAUGCCACACAGCAGGCGAUGUUGGAUUGCCAAGCCUCCAAAGAUGAGGAGCAAGGAACUGCUACUUUCCUCACGUUCACACAACCUGACUCUGAGAUACACUGGUCAGAAAGCAGUGGUGGCAUUGUCUGAUGAGGUACUGGUUGCUCCAGGACAUGCUGCCUUGCUGUUAGCUCAGCUAGUGGCUGUGUUCCAGGCAUGAAUGUUUCUGGUGUCUCACUCUUGGCACACCUUCCCUACAGACGUGUGCAUGUUCGCAGAGCAAGCUUUGAGAAGACUUGUCUUAUCCCCACAAUUAAAAUAA